CUGCUGCCUUCCGUAGGAGUUUGGGCCGUGUCUCAGUCCCAAUGUGGCCGUCCACCCUCUCAGGCCGGCUACUGAUCGUCGCUUUGGUAGGCCGUUACCCUGCCAACUGGCUAAUCAGACGCGGGUCCAUCGCAUACCACCUUCGGUUUUUCACACUGGACCAUGCGGUCCCGUGCGCUUAUGCGGUAUUAGCACCUGUUUCCAGGUGUUAUCCCCCGGUAUACGGCAGGUUACCCACGCGUUACUCACCCGUCCGCCACUAACUUAA
This 268-nucleotide ribosomal RNA is filed under the name uncultured bacterium. RNAcentral's name for it is "partial 16S ribosomal RNA". The record is from RNAcentral.